UUAAGUAGAGGCGCCUAAUUGAUCAGUAUCAUGCCGGAUGUAUCCAGGUACAGAAGAAGGCAUUGAGAAAGGCAUGCAGGCCGAAGUUUCUGUUCUUCCUGAAGGGAACGGGAGCUGGGCAUACAGCAAAGAACUGUAUGACUGUCAUCAUUUGAUGGAGUGCUGCUUGA
RNAcentral lists this non-coding RNA (170 nucleotides) under bovine gut metagenome. RNAcentral's name for it is "Lysine riboswitch". It matches the Rfam family "Lysine riboswitch aptamer". From Rfam's summary of the family: Riboswitches are metabolite binding domains within certain messenger RNAs that serve as precision sensors for their corresponding targets. Allosteric rearrangement of mRNA structure is mediated by ligand binding, and this results in modulation of gene expression. This family includes riboswitches that sense lysine in a number of genes involved in lysine metabolism, including lysC. The record is from RNAcentral.